This 367-nucleotide ribosomal RNA is filed under the name uncultured Rhodocyclaceae bacterium. RNAcentral describes it as "bacterial SSU rRNA". It matches the Rfam family "Bacterial small subunit ribosomal RNA", at positions 1019 to 1382 of the family's 1533-position model. Lineage: Bacteria; Pseudomonadati; Pseudomonadota; Betaproteobacteria; Rhodocyclales; Rhodocyclaceae. The record is from RNAcentral.
CAAGAGAACCGGAACACAGGUGCUGCAUGGCUGUCGUCAGCUCGUGUCGUGAGAUGUUCGGGUUAAGUCCCCGCAACGAGCCGUCAACCCUUGUCAUUAGUUGCCAUCAUUUGGUUGGGCACUCUAAUGAGACUGCCGGUGACAACCGGAGGAAGUGGGGAUGACGUCAAGUCCUCAUGGCCCUUAUGGGUAGGGCUUCACACGUCAUACAAUGGUCGGUACAGAGGGUUGCCAACCCGGCGAGGGGGAGCUAAUCCCACAAAGCCGAUCGUAGUCCGGAUCGCAGUCUGCAACUCGACUGCGUGAAGUCGGAAUCGCUAGUAAUCGUGGAUCAGCAUGUCACGGUGAAUACCGGUUCCCGGGUCUU